Molecule: ribosomal RNA, 809 nt
Filed under: uncultured Chytridiomycota
Lineage: Eukaryota; Fungi; Chytridiomycota
Description: eukaryotic LSU rRNA
Rfam family: 5.8S ribosomal RNA (bases 289-442)
Source: RNAcentral
CAUUAGUAAAUUUAACCAUUUCACCUCCCCACGGAGGUGCAAAAGGUACCACACCUUGUGCACUCACAUCUGUCUCUGGCAUUUCGAGUGUGUUGCUCCCCAAGUUUCCUCCUCCUUCCCCCCAGUGUUGUGUCGGGGCGGAAUAGGGGUGGAAAACUUCUGGGAUCUCACACGAGGGUGCCGAAUGUGUUUGAAGUUUUUAAACUUUAUUUUGCUGUCCAUUUACAAGUCUGACCUUCUGUUUCUCCCACACCUGUGAGAGGAAUGCUAAAAAAAUUUUGUAAAUACAACUUUUGACAACGGAUCUCUUGGCUCUCGCAACGAUGAAGAACGCAGCGAAUUGCGAUAAGUAAUGUGAAUUGCAGAAUUCAGUGAAUCAUCGAAUCUUUGAACGCACAUUGCGCUCUUCGGCUUUCCGGAGAGCAUGCCUGUUUGAGAAUCGAUUGAAUCGUCAUACCCUCCAACUUCACUGUUGAGGGAAUGGAUUUGGGUGAGCAAGGGGAUCUCUGGUUCCGCCAGAGCUCGCCAGCGCGUUUGCCUGUCUGGGCAAUCACCUGCAAUGGAAAUGUUUGGGAACACACAUGGCGUGUAGUCUCCUCAAAUGCAUGAAUAAAGGAGUUCCUUUUCCAUACGUUUGAAGUGGGAAACCUGCAAUCCAUUGAGUGUUGUUUGAAGCUGGGCGUCAUGUCUGGCAUCAACCUAAACUGUCGGUGAGGAUGAGUCUUGAAGAUUCUCCAACCCCGACCACAGGGACUCCAGGGUCUCGAACACUUGGUCUCAAAUCAGGUAGGAAAACCCGCUGAACUUAA